GUUUAAAGAUGACAAAUUCUUUUUGCCAACCAAGUUCAUUAAAUGAGGGUGAAAACAUGUAAAACCUAUCUGAAUUAUGAAUUAUUUUAAAUUUACUGUCCAAACUUGUCCAAACGUUUUAUUUGUUUUAUUUGAGUCGGAUAACGAUACUUUGGUUUUGAAAUUUGAAUAUGUCGUUUUUCUUUUUACUGAUAUAGUUAGUAUGAAUUUAUUAAACUAAGCAAGUAGGUUAAUUUUUAAAUUCAAAGUUUCGUUGACUGACUCAACUCAAGCAAAUUGAAAGGCUAAAUAGUAAAACCAAAUAUUUAAAAGAUCGGAUAGUAAAUCUAAAAUGCU
This 336-nucleotide long non-coding RNA is filed under the name Ananas comosus (pineapple). RNAcentral describes it as "long non-coding RNA (ACOM_LNC001413)". The record is from RNAcentral. Lineage: Eukaryota; Viridiplantae; Streptophyta; Magnoliopsida; Poales; Bromeliaceae.